RNAcentral lists this long non-coding RNA (1403 nucleotides) under Equus caballus (horse). RNAcentral's name for it is "lncRNA (ENSECAG00000047310.1)". The record is from RNAcentral. Lineage: Eukaryota; Metazoa; Chordata; Mammalia; Perissodactyla; Equidae.
CCAUACCCCAGUUCCACAAGCCACGUGGCUCAAAACAACAGAAAGGUAUCGUCUCACAGUCGUGGAGCCUAGAAGUUUGACGUGAACGUCUGAGCUCUCUCUGAAGGCCCGGGGGAACGAACCCUUCCUUGCCUCUUCCGGCUUCUGACAGUUGCCAACUAUCCUCGGCAUUCCUUGGCUCUUAGAUGCAUCACUUCUGUCUCCGCCUCUGUUGUCACAUGCUGUUUUCCCUGUGUGUCUCUCUCUGUCCCUUCUCGUCUUCUUAUAAGGGUACCCAUCAUAUUGGAUUAAGGGCCCACCCCACUCCAGUGUGAAUUCAUCUUAAUUUAAUUAGUUACAGCUUCAGUGACCCUUCCAAAUAAGAUCACAUCUUGAGGUUCCAGGGGGAACACGAAUUCGAGGCGAGGGAAAGACUAACCCAGUACAGGUGUUUCCAGAGGCUGGAGCCAGGAGCUGAUGGUUCUUUCACACUGUGUAAUGUCUUCUCUGGAAAGGCCUCCUCAUCCAUCGUGCAAAGAACCCGCCCUAGAGCCACCCCAGGAACUAUAGAAAUAGAAUCCUUUGCUAGAACAAUGAUGCCCUACGAGAAGAAAGAAACAGGGACCCUGGAAGCAUGGGUCGGACUUACGGGCGUUACAGAAAGUUCCAUCUCAGAGAAAUACACGGACCUGCCAGCUCAAAGACGUUUUAGAGGUCCAGAGGAAGAAUUGUGGAAUUUGGGGAGUUUCUUUUUUCAGAAUAAAAGGGCAAGUUGCUAAGUCUUGAGCCUCCCCCUGGUCCCCACCCCCCCCCAACACACACACAGAGUAAGAAAAAGCCACAAUGUUUGGUGGCUCUCUUGGAAUUUUGGACGCAACUUGUAUCAUGGUUGGGAGAUUUGCUCUCACUCAUCAGCAAAGAAAGGUCUAAGGCUGCUGGGGCCCUGUGCAAGAGAAAGUUCUCCAGCAGGUCCAAGAUGUAUUGCCAAGGACUCCGCCAAUUGGGUCUUCUAACCUAGCAAUCCAGGCAUUCUCAAGAGGGGUGAACACACUACAAUUCCCUUGUCUGUUCUCCUAUUGGUGGGCAUUCAGGUGGUUCCCAAUUAGAGACCAUUUCAAAUGGUGCUGCUGUGAAUAUCCUUGUUCAUGCCUUUUGGUAUGCACUUGUUGCUCGUAUGCUUUUGGGUGGAAUUGUUAAGUUGUAGUGCAGGCAAAAGUUCAGCUGAGGGGCUGGCCCCGUGGCCGAGUGGUUAAGUUUGCACACUCUGCUGCAGGCAGCUCAGUGUUUCGUUGGUUCGAAUCCUGGGUGCGGACAUGGCACUGCUCAUCAAACCACGCUGAGGCAGCGUCCCACAUGCCACAACUAGAAGGACCCACAACGAAAGAAUAUACAACUAUGUACUGGGGGGCUUUGGGGAGAAAAAG